UCCCGGUUGCUCCGGGCAGUCUCGCGUGAAAAAUACAACACGCGACGAGGGUUGCGCUCGUUGCGGGACUUAACCCAACACCUCACGGCACGAGCUGACGACAGCCAUGCAGCAUCUGUGAACCGGCCCCGAAGGGAAGCCUGGUUUCCCAGGCGGUCCGGAACAUGUCAAGCCCUGGUAAGGUUCUUCGCGUAGCUUCGAAUUAAACCGCACGCUCCGCUGCUUGUGCGGGCCCCCGCCAAUUCCUUUGAGUUUUAGCCUUGCGGCCGUAGUCCCCAGGCGGAGUACUUAUCGCGUUAGCUUCGCUACACAGGGAGUCGAUACCCCAUACAGCUAGUACUCAUCGUUUACGGCGUGGACUAC
RNAcentral lists this unclassified non-coding RNA (363 nucleotides) under uncultured Chloroflexota bacterium. RNAcentral's name for it is "uncultured Chloroflexi bacterium contains 16S-23S intergenic spacer region". The record is from RNAcentral. Lineage: Bacteria; Bacillati; Chloroflexota.